UCCCCAAUCAGUGCCAGCUGAUGGCCAACCUGGAUAGCUGAGCUGGAAGGCAUUGAAAUAGCAGUUAAAGGAACACAUAGCAAAGUCAUUUCUUCAAAAUUUACUCUGCAAGUGCUGGGCAGAGUUAUUUCCCCAAUGGAUGGGCUAAGGUAGGGAUGUAAAUGCUAAAUGUUUCAGCUUUUUUAUUAUUUAUCAGUUGAUUGAUCAGACACCUUAAGUCCGUAUUUAUACACACAAGUGCUAGGAUGUUUUCAUCUUGUUUUUCAUCUGAUACUUUUGAAAAGACAUGGUAUCUAAUUUCUUCAUACAACACAACAGAAUUGUUUCUAGGAUUUUUUUUUUUCAACAAAGUCAAAAUAUUUCACAAAGCUUUCACUUCAGAUGUCUCAAAACACCUCACAUUACAUAACCAAUUCUUUCGUCCAACAGAUUCGCUUCAGCGCUCGCCAUGGCACAGAGCAGUUCCAAGCUAGCGAGUGAUGCUGGAAUAUGAACCAACUGAAACAGCAUCUGUGGGGAGCUUCAGGGCAGGCAGGUCCCUAUGCUGCAGCUGCUGUCCAGCAUGAAAGUGUCUGGCGCUGCCAGGAGGCUGCCAUACGUCUGCUCCUCUGGCGCUCCGUCGGGGUAUCUGGAGAGAAGGACACGCCUGGGGCUCCGCCGCGCCUGGGACAUGGUGCUCUGCAAAGAAGGGCCAGCGUCACUCCCAUGCUGUGCUGUCUGGGAACGCGACGUUGGGUUAGGCGGACGUGGUUCGGUGUGCGUGGCCGCCCCUGCUGGGCCUGCAGUGUGCUGAGGUCAAGUUUGAGGCCGUUAUGCACCAAGAAAUCCUUGAUCUUCUUUCAGUAUUUAGAAGAACUCUACAUUUUCCAUAAGCAAAGUUACCAAAUAUUACAGUGUAUGUAUUAUUGUAUAAGUAAAUGCACUUCUAUAACCUAGCAGAAACUUGGUAUAACUAAAUGAAGGUAUAUUCGGUUCAGCCUGUAUCACUGCAAAAGCAAAGACUUCACUUACUGACAUUUAAUGUGACUAGAGAAAAAAAUCUAAGGAUUACCUUGUGUUCAGUAGACAUUAACAUACUGUAUGGACUAUAAUCAUACAUUUUUUCCUUUUAUUUAUACAAUGCCACCCUUAGUCAUAUAGAUGUUUAUUUACAUGUCAGUGUCAGAAUCUGAACAUACGUUACAGGAUAGUUAAAAGGCUUAUGAUCAUCUACAAAAAUAACAAAAAUGAGUAGUUUCAGAUGCUGUAUCCUUUCCCUAUUUUGUUUUAAAUAGUGCUUCCACUACGUGUUGAUCUAUGUCUCCCACCUCAGUCCAAGCAAAAGUCAAGAAAAGGGUUAUAGAGGAACUUUCAGCAUUUCCAGCACUGUACCUCAUUUCCAGUAACCCAGUUCCCCAGAGAACAUGCUAGCUGUGAGCCAAGUGCUGAGGCUCCAUACACACCAUAUAGUGAAGCCAUCUCAGUUCAAAUCUGUAUUCCCCUCCACUAGUAUCAGCCCUUCACUUCCCACAGAAGCACCUAGUCCAGCAAGCUGCUGGCUAUAGUGGUGCUCAACAGGUGAUCCCAUUCAACAGCUACAUCUCCCUUCAUUUCUGGGCAAGGCUGACACAACAUGUACACUAUGGAGUUGCAUUAUCCAGGGCAAGUCAUGCUCUAGCAGCUCUCUCAGAGCAAGCUUGGGCAUGAGCUCUACAAGAUCCUGAAAGGCCAAAGAGAACCUGGGAAUGGCUGCAUAAUGUUUGAAGGAUGCCAGGAAUGCCAAAGUACUCUCUUCGAUAUCCAAAGUGCCAACUCUGUGGAAGUGGCUAGCCUCAGCAGGUGGCUUAGAGAAACAGCCCAAGCAUGCAUCGUUGGCCUUGCAGAAGGUAAACCACCCGCCCAUACACUCACUGCAAGGCACGGAGCAAACAUCUAGCUAUAUAGUGCUGCUAUUCCUGUAGGCUGAAGGCACCAGAGGAAGAUUCAAACAAAUGGAAAAGUGUCACUCAUGUGUCUUUGAAACUUAGAGCCAUUAGUAGCCUUUACUAAAACAAACACUAUGGAUGGAAUGUAUUUAAAAACUGAAAUAAAACCUCAAGUGUC
Tympanuchus pallidicinctus (lesser prairie-chicken) is the source of this 2082-nucleotide long non-coding RNA. RefSeq lists it as uncharacterized. The transcript has 3 exons. Lineage: Eukaryota; Metazoa; Chordata; Aves; Galliformes; Phasianidae. The record is from RefSeq and is a predicted model, not a curated record.